This 302-nucleotide ribosomal RNA is filed under the name Arthrobacter sp. RT-1. RNAcentral describes it as "bacterial SSU rRNA". It matches the Rfam family "Bacterial small subunit ribosomal RNA", at positions 877 to 1178 of the family's 1533-position model. The record is from RNAcentral. Lineage: Bacteria; Bacillati; Actinomycetota; Actinomycetes; Micrococcales; Micrococcaceae.
GGAGUACGGCCGCAAGGCUAAAACUCAAAGGAAUUGACGGGGGCCCGCACAAGCGGCGGAGCAUGCGGAUUAAUUCGAUGCAACGCGAAGAACCUUACCAAGGCUUGACAUGAACCGGACCGCCGCAGAAAUGUGGUUUCCCCUUUGGGGCUGGUUUACAGGUGGUGCAUGGUUGUCGUCAGCUCGUGUCGUGAGAUGUUGGGUUAAGUCCCGCAACGAGCGCAACCCUCGUUCUAUGUUGCCAGCACGUGAUGGUGGGGACUCAUAGGAGACUGCCGGGGUCAACUCGGAGGAAGGUGGGG